UGGGGAAUUUUGCGCAAUGGGGGAAACCCUGACGCAGCAACGCCGCGUGGAGGAUGAAGUCCUUUGGGACGUAAACUCCUUUCGACCGGGACGAUAAUGACGGUACCGGUGGAAGAAGCCCCGGCUAACUCUGUGCCAGCAGCCGCGGUAAUACAGGGGGGGCAAGCGUUGUUCGGAAUUAUUGGGCGUAAAGGGCGCGUAGGCGGUGCGGUAAGUCACCUGUGAAACCUCUGGGCUUAACCCAGAGCCUGCAGGCGAAACUGCCGUGCUCGAGUGUGGGAGAGGUGCGUGGAAUUCCCGGUGUAGCGGUGAAAUGCGUAGAUAUCGGGAGGAGCACCUGUGGCGAAAGCGGCGCACUGGACCACAACUGACGCUGAGGCGCGAAAGCUAGGGGAGCAAACAGGAUUAGAUACCC
Molecule: ribosomal RNA, 415 nt
Filed under: uncultured bacterium
Lineage: Bacteria
Description: bacterial SSU rRNA
Rfam family: Bacterial small subunit ribosomal RNA
Source: RNAcentral